This 324-nucleotide ribosomal RNA is filed under the name uncultured eukaryote. RNAcentral describes it as "partial 18S ribosomal RNA". It matches the Rfam family "Eukaryotic small subunit ribosomal RNA", at positions 1470 to 1796 of the family's 1831-position model. The record is from RNAcentral.
CCCUUAGAUGUUCUGGGCUGCACGCGCGCUACACUGAUACUUUCAGCGAGUCCACCACCUUGCCUGGGAGGGUGGGGUAACCUCUGGAAAGUGCAUCGUGAUGGGGAUCGAUUAUUGUAAUUAUUAAUCUUCAACGAGGAAUUCCUAGUAAGCAUGUGUCAUCAGCCCGCGCUGAAUACGUCCCUGCCCUUUGUACACACCGCCCGUCGCUCCUACCGAUUGAGCGAUCCGGUGAAUGUUUUGGACUGGCGUCAGAAGCGGUUCGCUCCUGACACUACGAAAUUUUGUAAACCUUAUCGCUUAGAGGAAGGAAAAGUCGUAACA